CAGCAGCCGCCACGGUAAUACAGAGGGUGCGAGCGUUAAUCGGAUUUACUGGGCGUAAAGCGUGCGUAGGCGGCUUCUUAAGUCGGAUGUGAAAUCCCUGAGCUUAACUUAGGAAUUGCAUUCGAUACUGGGAAGCUAGAGUAUGGGAGAGGAUGGUAGAAUUCCAGGUGUAGCGGUGAAAUGCGUAGAGAUCUGGAGGAAUACCGAUGGCGAAGGCAGCCAUCUGGCCUAAUACUGACGCUGAGGUACGAAAGCAUGGGGAGCAAACAGGAUUAGAUACCCCUGUAGUCCCUGUCUCUUAUAC
Molecule: ribosomal RNA, 304 nt
Filed under: uncultured bacterium
Lineage: Bacteria
Description: partial 16S ribosomal RNA
Rfam family: Bacterial small subunit ribosomal RNA
Source: RNAcentral